AGCUGCGUGGUGAAUACAGAGCGAAUUAUUCUUUCGCCUUUUACUAAAGAACACCGUGUGUUCGUCACUUAAAGCAGCAUACGCUUAUUUUUGGAGGGGUUUCUUGAAAAAGAGCCC
Small nuclear RNA from Zingiber officinale, 117 nucleotides. RefSeq annotates it as U5 spliceosomal RNA. The transcript has a single exon. The record is from RefSeq and is a predicted model, not a curated record. Lineage: Eukaryota; Viridiplantae; Streptophyta; Magnoliopsida; Zingiberales; Zingiberaceae.